AAAAAAAAAAGAAGUUGAUUGAGCUAAAUGCGAGUGUUAUCUUUGCACUGCCAGGCAUAGGCUGUCUGCCUCAAGAAACAAACUUUCUUAUUUCUAUUGUACUUCAAAUUAAGGCCCAUUUGUUUGAAGCAAAAUAAACCCUUUCAAAAGUUGUGUUCAACACAACACGUAUGAUAAAUCACUUCAAAGACAAUGACAAUAAAAACUAAUGACUAGUUGAAAAUCUUAUAACUCCUCUUCAAGUAGCUUUGUGUAGGUGAUAGUUCCUUAUGCCAAUGAUUUAUUUCUUGAAAAACAAUGCAAUUGACCACAUUUAAACGUCUAAUUCUAUCUCUAAUUGUAUAUACACAAACAAAAUCAAGUCCAGAUGCUAAAUAAAAUCCUAUUUACGUAUAUACAACAUAAAUAACGCGGGGAAAAUAUUAUUAAAAAAUUCAUAAUUUUUGAAUAUUGAUGCAAA
This 460-nucleotide unclassified non-coding RNA is filed under the name Hevea brasiliensis (rubber tree). Lineage: Eukaryota; Viridiplantae; Streptophyta; Magnoliopsida; Malpighiales; Euphorbiaceae. The record is from RNAcentral.